RNAcentral lists this ribosomal RNA (468 nucleotides) under uncultured bacterium. RNAcentral describes it as "partial 16S ribosomal RNA". It matches the Rfam family "Bacterial small subunit ribosomal RNA", at positions 28 to 507 of the family's 1533-position model. The record is from RNAcentral.
GACGAACGCUGGCGGCGUGCUUAACACAUGCAAGUCGAACGGAAAGGCCCUGCUUUUGUGGGGUGCUCGAGUGGCGAACGGGUGAGUAACACGUGAGUAACCUGCCCUUGACUUUGGGAUAACUUCAGGAAACCGGGGCUAAUACCGGAUAGGAGCUCCUGCUGCAUGGUGGGGGUUGGAAAGUUUCGGCGGUUGGGGAUGGACUCGCGGCUUAUCAGCUUGUUGGUUGGGUAGUGGCUUACCAAGGCUUUGACGGGUAGCCGGCCUGAGAGGGUGACCGGCCACAUUGGGACUGAGAUACGGCCCAGACUCCUACGGGAGGCAGCAGUGGGGAAUAUUGCACAAUGGGCGGAAGCCUGAUGCAGCAACGCCGCGUGCGGGAUGACGGCCUUCGGGUUGUAAACCGCUUUCGCCUGUGACGAAGCGUGAGUGACGGUAAUGGGUAAAGAAGCACCGGCUAACUACGUG